Molecule: ribosomal RNA, 469 nt
Filed under: Planomicrobium sp. B2
Lineage: Bacteria; Bacillati; Bacillota; Bacilli; Caryophanales; Caryophanaceae
Description: bacterial SSU rRNA
Rfam family: Bacterial small subunit ribosomal RNA
Source: RNAcentral
GCGUUUAGCGGCGGACGGGUGAGUAACACGUGGGCAACCUGCCCUGCAGAUCGGGAUAACUCCGGGAAACCGGUGCUAAUACCGAAUAGUUUGUCCUCCCUCCUGGGAGGAUACGGAAAGACGGUUUCGGCUGUCACUGCAGGAUGGGCCCGCGGCGCAUUAGCUAGUUGGUGGGGUAACGGCCCACCAAGGCCACGAUGCGUAGCCGACCUGAGAGGGUGAUCGGCCACACUGGGACUGAGACACGGCCCAGACUCCUACGGGAGGCAGCAGUAGGGAAUCUUCCGCAAUGGACGCAAGUCUGACGGAGCAACGCCGCGUGAGUGAUGAAGGUUUUCGGAUCGUAAAACUCUGUUGCGAGGGAAGAAACCGUGCCAGCUAACUACUGGCACCUUGACGGUACCUCGCCAGAAAGCCACGGCUAACUACGUGCCAGCAGCCGCGGUAAUACGUAGGUGGCAAGCGUUGU